CAGGGCAGCCCUCUCAGAUGCCCCAUAAACCACCUCCCUAAGGGCGAAUGUCCAGACCCUGUACCUAAAACUAAUGUGUUCGGACAAAAACAAAUAGCUGGGCAUGUUCUACACAGGGUUCCCUCUGGAACG
This is a long non-coding RNA of Strigops habroptila (Kakapo), 132 nucleotides long. RefSeq lists it as uncharacterized. The transcript has 3 exons. NCBI's taxonomy places the organism in Eukaryota, Metazoa, Chordata, Aves, Psittaciformes, Psittacidae. The record is from RefSeq and is a predicted model, not a curated record.